RNAcentral lists this ribosomal RNA (970 nucleotides) under Rhynochetos jubatus (kagu). Its description in RNAcentral is "12S ribosomal RNA". It matches the Rfam family "Bacterial small subunit ribosomal RNA". The record is from RNAcentral. Lineage: Eukaryota; Metazoa; Chordata; Aves; Eurypygiformes; Rhynochetidae.
AAAGACUUAGUCCUAACCUUACCGUUAAUUUUUGCUAGACAUAUACAUGCAAGUAUCCGCGUCCCAGUGUAAAUGCCCCUGUUCCCUCACCCAAGGCCAAGGGAGCUGGUAUCAGGCACACCCAUAGAUGUAGCCCAAGACACCUUGCUCAGCCACACCCCCACGGGUAUUCAGCAGUAAUUAACAUUAAGCAAUAAGUGAAAACUUGACUUAGUCAUAGCAAUCAUCCACCUAGGGCCGGUAAAUCUUGUGCCAGCCACCGCGGUUACACAAGAGGCCCAAAUUAACAGUCUGCGGCGUAAAGAGUGGUAUUAUAUUAUCGUAUCAACUAAGACCGAAAUGCAACUGAGCUGUCAUAAGCUUAAGAUGUCCCUAAGCCCUUCAUCAAGAUGAUCUUAGCACAUUCGCCUAAUUGAACCCACUAAAGCUAGGACACAAACUGGGAUUAGAUACCCCACUAUGCCUAGCCCUAAAUCUAGACGCUAACUCUACUCUAGCGUCCGCCCGAGAACUACGAGCAUAAACGCUUAAAACUCUAAGGACUUGGCGGUGCCCCAAACCCACCUAGAGGAGCCUGUCCUAUAAUCGAUAACCCACGAUAUACCCAACCCCCCCUAGCAAGGUCAGCCUACAUACCGCCGUCGCCAGCCCACCCUCACUGAGGGGAUAAUAGUGGACAAAAUAGCUCUUCGCUAAUAAGACAGGUCAAGGUAUAGCCUAUGGGGUGGAAGAGAUGGGCUACAUUUUCUAGCAGUAGAACAUUACGGAGCGGGGUGUGAAACCACUCCUAAAAGGUGGAUUUAGUAGUAAGAGGGGAUAAUAAAGCCCCUCUGAAGACGGCUCUGGGGCACGUACAUACCGCCCGUCACCCUCCUCAUAAGCUACACCCACCCAUAAUUAAUAUGCCACUUUGCCAGAGAUGAGGUAAGUCGUAACAAGGUAAGUGUACCGGAAGGUGCACUUAGCAUAU